CGUCAUUCGUUCGUCGUCCUUUUGAUCGUUGAGCAGGCGCCGCUCGCUUACCGACAUUAUAUACAAAAUUAUACUAACAGAGGGUUACCUACGUCAUCUACUUUGUAAAACUUAUUUGAGAGGUUCGGGUUACCAAACCUCUUUGUAUCAAAACCGUGCCACGUGCAAUAUAAGUCAUAUAUUGCCUUAUUUCUACAUAUUUAAACACUCCUGAGGGUGUUUAUUUUUUCUUUAAUUUUAUGUAUACUUUGUAUAUUGCAUUACAAAGUAAUUUAAUAUUGUUCGGUGGACUCAACCGAGGAAUUGUUGCUGAUUUGGAGGUGUUGGAGGCUCUGCUGUUUUAUGGAGGAGAGGCUGCUUGUCCAGUGGCUUGCUUUUGCAACUGGUGCUUUUGCUGCUUCGCACUGCUUUUAUUUAUUUGCUCACUCAUGGUGACACUGCAUUCAGGGUUUGCACUAUCCUGCUUAUCUAUUUAAAUCUAUCACUGUUGUUUGUUGUGAUGAGUUGGCAUCGGUUAAAAUUUUAACCGAUGCCAACUCAUCACAACAAACAAAUUAAUAUAAUAUAUCAUAACACACGUACCAAUCGUUUUUAACAAUAUAAGUACGACACUAGAUUAGCUUCACAAUUAGCUACGUAAACUAAUUCGGAUAGUAAAUUAAUCUUAUCCUACAGGACACCGUUACAACGGCAUGUCAGUAAUUAUUCUGGCGUACUGUUUGUACGUCCCAUACCUAAUAAUCCUUGUAAGGUAAGAUUGUAAUCUAUAACGAAUCUGUCUUGGCUAUAGUACCCACGUAGACGUUGCGAUCAUUGAAUCGCUUUGAACGUCUAGUUAGAGAGCUCGGCACAGGAUGUUGCGAUUUUCAUUUCCGUAAAUGAAAAUUAAUAAUAUGAAUCUAAGAAAGCAAUCUCUCAGUAUUAAAAUACUCGUUACGGUUUACAUAUUAUUUAUCCUAUACUAUUUGCUAAAUUGUUAGCGCCUACCAAAAAUGUUAAGCAAUUUCAUAAAUACGUAAAUGUUGUAAAUCAGAAAAUCUAUGUAUGACUUUCUUCGCAAGUACGCGCGCAAACGCAUCAUCAGAACGAUCCUGCUUGCCUUCAAAGCCUGGAGGAAACGAUUUCCGGACGAGAACCUGGAGGAAGUCAACCGUGAUGCCUAGCGCUGCCGUACGCACUACGCGAGGAGUGCGGGGGGAGAUGUUUGAGAUCACUUUCAGCCCUUGAGGAAAGCUCCACAUAGCCACGAGUGAAGCAAACAAUAGAAGGGCCCCCAGGCGCCCGGGUACCUUUAAAAAAAAUAUUAUUCAAUAUGCUGAUGUCAAUAAAAAAAAUCUUGAUAUAUCUUAGAAGCAAAAAGCUCUACUUUGUGAGCAGAUGUUGUUGUUGUUUUUGUUGUCGUUAUAUUUUAUUUUUGGCAAAAAUUGUUUUUUCUUUUUUAAAUCAGAUUAUGUGUUACGCAACAUGCAAACAAUUAGAUUGUUGGUUUAUACUCAAACUGCAAGUGUGAAGUGGUAUGAUGAUAAUGACAAAAGCUGAAGAGGGACCCACACUCAUUUAUGCAACGCCAUUCCUGUACUCAUUCGCUUACGUAACAACAUAUUAACAUGUUCCGGUUUUUAAUCAAAUUUAUGUUAAAGUUUUGAGUGACACUGAAUAUUUUAAAUAUUAUUAUUAUUAUUUCAAAAUAUUAAUAGCUCUAAAUUCAUGUCUUUGAGUCAAAUAAUCUAGAGAGGUGGUCGGCAAAAAUACGGCUGAUUGAGGACUAUAACUUUAUUUUACAUAUUUUUUACCGGACACUUGGCUAUUAUAUAUCCUUUUAUUUAUGACUUAAUCUUUAAACUCUGAGAAACUUGUGUAUCCGAUGUCCUCUAGCUACCGAGCGCAAGGUGACGAUAGCGGGGACCAUCGGCGUCGGAUGGAACUCCGCAAUAUCGUAUAGUGUGGAAUAUCGCGCGAUAUUCUCGCGAUAUGCGAGGUGUCCUAGGGCCCUUUCCGACCUUGGACAUUCUAGCGGAUAUAGACGUGACUGUCUAACAGCAUCAUAUCGUGUUUCUUCAUGCAUUAACGGGGCAAUUAUUGUUCAUCAUAUAUUUUUGUACAUUUUUAACGAAAAAUGCAAGCGAAGCCAAGAAGGAUAGGUUAUUUAUGUUGACAAAAUUGUGCUAUAAAUCUGUCAAUUCUAAUUGAUACGCUUAUAUAAUAUUUAAUUAAUUAAUUUCUGUAUGGAACAAAUGCCGGUCAAAAUAUAACAAAAGGCCCGCGGCCUCGUAAUUGCUUUCUGUAAAUAUUUACAGGGUUAGCGGUGAAUAUUGUAUGCUGAAUUUUUUAAUAAAAACUUAACUCAAUUUUAUUUUUCAACUAUUUGAUCAAACUACUGCUUUAUACUUUGUACAAGCAUAACUUUUGUUUAUAAAUUUACAAAAUAUACUGUAUAUUUAAAUUCAAUACAUACCUGUUUUAUUUAGUAAAAACAAAAUAAUGGGA
Molecule: long non-coding RNA, 2487 nt
Organism: Nymphalis io (European peacock)
Lineage: Eukaryota; Metazoa; Arthropoda; Insecta; Lepidoptera; Nymphalidae
Exons: 4
Source: RefSeq, a predicted model, not a curated record